AACGUAGGACGCAAGCGUUAUCCGGAGUUACUGGGCGUAAAGCGCGGGCAGGCGGCUCUGUAAGUCUGAUGUGAAAGCGCCCGGCUCAACCGGGCGAGGCCAUUGGAAACUGGAGAGCUGGAGGGCAGUAGAGGCAGGCGGAAUUCCGGGUGGAGUGGUGAAAUGCGUAGAGAUCCGGAGGAACACCAGAGGCGAAGGCGGCCUGCUGGGCUGCACCUGACGCUGAACCGCGAAAGCCAGGGGAGCGAACGGG
RNAcentral lists this ribosomal RNA (253 nucleotides) under uncultured bacterium. Its description in RNAcentral is "partial 16S ribosomal RNA". It matches the Rfam family "Bacterial small subunit ribosomal RNA", at positions 524 to 776 of the family's 1533-position model. The record is from RNAcentral.